AGUGAACGCUGGCGAUAGGCCUAACACAUGCAAGUCGAACGGCAGCACAGUAAGAGCUUGCUCUUACGGGUGGCGAGUGGCGGACGGGUGAGGAAUACAUCGGAAUCUACUUUUUCGUGGGGGAUAACGUAGGGAGACUUACGCUAAUACCGCAUACGACCUACGGGUGAAAGCAGGGGAUCUUCGGACCUUGCGCGAUUGAAUGAGCCGAUGUCGGAUUAGCUAGUUGGCGGGGUAAAGGCCCACCAAGGCGACGAUCCGUAGCUGGUCUGAGAGGAUGAUCAGCCACACUGGAACUGAGACACGGUCCAGACUCCUACGGGAGGCAGCAGUGGGGAAUAUUGGACAAUGGGCGCAAGCCUGAUCCAGCCAUACCGCGUGGGUGAAGAAGGCCUUCGGGUUGUAAAGCCCUUUUGUUGGGAAAGAAAAGCAGCAGGUUAAUACCCCGCUGUUCUGACGGUACCCAAAGAAUAAGCACCGGCUAACUUCGUG
RNAcentral lists this ribosomal RNA (492 nucleotides) under uncultured bacterium. Its description in RNAcentral is "partial 16S ribosomal RNA". It matches the Rfam family "Bacterial small subunit ribosomal RNA", at positions 29 to 507 of the family's 1533-position model. The record is from RNAcentral.